GAUGAACGCUAGCUACAGGCUUAACACAUGCAAGUCGCAGGGUAACAUGAGGAAAGCUUGCUUUCCUUGAUGACGACUGGCGCACGGGUGAGUAACGCGUAUCCAACCUUCCCAUAACUACGGGAUAACCCGUUGAAAGACGGCCUAAUACCGUAUGAUAUCGUUUGCUGACAUCAAAUAACGAUUAAAGGUUUAGCGGUUAUGGAUGGGGAUGCGUCUGAUUAGCUUGUUGGCGGGGUAACGGCCCACCAAGGCGACGAUCAGUAGGGGUUCUGAGAGGAAGGUCCCCCACAUUGGAACUGAGACACGGUCCAAACUCCUACGGGAGGCAGCAGUGAGGAAUAUUGGGCAAUGGGCGAGAGCCUGAACCAGCCAAGUAGCGUGCAGGACGACGGCCCUAUGGGUUGUAAACUGCUUUUAUGUGGGGAUAAAGUGCGUGACGUGUCAUGCAUUGCAGGUACCACAUGAAUAAGGACCGGCUAAUUCCGU
Molecule: ribosomal RNA, 489 nt
Filed under: uncultured bacterium
Lineage: Bacteria
Description: partial 16S ribosomal RNA
Rfam family: Bacterial small subunit ribosomal RNA
Source: RNAcentral